This 497-nucleotide ribosomal RNA is filed under the name uncultured bacterium. RNAcentral's name for it is "partial 16S ribosomal RNA". It matches the Rfam family "Bacterial small subunit ribosomal RNA", at positions 28 to 507 of the family's 1533-position model. The record is from RNAcentral.
GAUGAACGCUGGCGGCGUGCCUAAUACAUGCAAGUCGAGCGAACAGAUGAGGAGCUUGCUCCUCUGACGUUAGCGGCGGACGGGUGAGUAACACGUGGAUAACCUACCUAUAAGACUGGGAUAACGUCGGGAAACCGGAGCUAAUACCGGAUAAUAUAUUGAACCGCAUGGUUCAAUAGUGAAAGACGGUUUUGUUGUCACUUAUAGAUGGAUCCGCGCCGCAUUAGCUAGUUGGUAAGGUAACGGCUUACCAAGGCAACGAUGCGUAGCCGACCUGAGAGGGUGAUGCGCCACACUGGAACUGAGACACGGUCCAGACUCCUACGGGAGGCAGCAGUAGGGAAUCUUCCGCAAUGGGAGAAACCCUGACGGAGCCAAGCCGCGUGAGUGAUGAAGGUCUUCGGAUCGUAAAACUCUGUUAUUAGGGAAGAACAAAUGUGUAAGUAACUAUGCACGUCUUGACGGUACCUAAUCAGAAAGCCACGGCUAACUACGUG